UCUUCCGCAAUGGACGAAAGUCUGACGGAGCAACGCCGCGUGAGUGAAGAAGGUCUUCGGAUNGUAAAGCUCUGUUGUUAGGGAANNAANNNUNUCGGAGGAAAUGCCGGUACCUUGACGGUACCUGACGNNNANGNCACGGCUAACUACGUGCCAGCAGCCGCGGUAAUACGUAGGUGGCAAGCGUUGUCCGGAAUUAUUGGGCGUAAAGCGCGCGCAGGCGGUCCUUUAAGUCUGAUGUGAAAUCUUGCGGCUCAACCGCAAGCGGUCAUUGGAAACUGGGGGACUUGAGUGCAGAAGAGGAAAGCGGAAUUCCACGUGUAGCGGUGAAAUGCGUAGAGAUGUGGAGGAACACCAGUGGCGAAGGCGGCUUUCUGGUCUGUAACUGACGCUGAGGCGCGAAAGCGUGGGGAGCAAACAGG
This 422-nucleotide ribosomal RNA is filed under the name uncultured bacterium. RNAcentral's name for it is "partial 16S ribosomal RNA". It matches the Rfam family "Bacterial small subunit ribosomal RNA", at positions 362 to 776 of the family's 1533-position model. The record is from RNAcentral.